GACUUGACGUCAAUCACUAUUUGCGCUCGCUCUUUCUGCAUUCAGUGUUUUCUCCAUGCCUUUACAAUGCGAUAUAGGAAUGAAAUUGACUGAGUUGAAAAAGCUUUUUCCUGAACUCUACAUGGAAACGUAUCGCCCGGGGACAUAACAACACGAGAAAUAGAGCACUUUGUACUUUAGAAACUGAGGAGAAUGCAGCUCGUGAAAGUAUAUUGUACCCGGGAUACGAUGGACGGACAUCGCUAUGUGGGUCAGUCCUUCCUUAUGCAUCACUAGAGCAUUGAUCAUCUCCGAGCCGUUAAUCCUUCAUAAACUGGUUAACCUUACCGCGAAGCUCGCUUACUCAGAAACCAUCUUUUUAUAUAUAACAGAUUUAAAAAUGACUUUUUCAACGCAUUUUAAUUUGGUUAGGGACAAAGGCAAACUGUGAUGCAAUAUAUAAAAAAUUCAUUCAUAGUCACCUAAAAAAAAUAAAAAGAAGAAUAGCAUUCA
Molecule: long non-coding RNA, 492 nt
Organism: Exaiptasia diaphana
Lineage: Eukaryota; Metazoa; Cnidaria; Anthozoa; Actiniaria; Aiptasiidae
Exons: 2
Source: RefSeq, a predicted model, not a curated record